Topomyia yanbarensis is the source of this 518-nucleotide long non-coding RNA. RefSeq lists it as uncharacterized. The record is from RefSeq and is a predicted model, not a curated record. Lineage: Eukaryota; Metazoa; Arthropoda; Insecta; Diptera; Culicidae. The transcript has 3 exons.
GUAUAUUCACCGAGCACCGCCGCUAGGCCCCCUACUGCUGCUGCUGCUGCACUGAUAUAGUUAUGUGGUGCGCACCGAGCAUCGCGUCGUGCGCGCUAGCAUUUGUACGCCUCGGCAGUCGAAUUUUUGUAAUCCACUGGAACGGAGGUACCUGCAGACCGUAAGUAGUUCUGAUAAGCACGGUCCCGGUAGAAUUUUGUGUAUCAAAAAUUGAUAAAACAACGGUCGCAUCUGAGUCAAGGCAGCCCCUAAAUCAGUCGGAUCAUCGCUGUUUGUGCGCGCGAGUGUGUAUUUCCCGAGAAUUGUGUGAUAACGUUAUCUAUUCGUAUUAUCGCAGGUGGUUUUUGGAGAAUCUAGCAAGGAGUUUUUAAUUUGGAACGACGGCGUUUUUUUCAGAAGGAAUAUUUUAUCGUGUUGAGAUACAAUGUUCAGCUCACACCAUUGUGGAGGUAUGAUGUGGGACCAUAAUCAUCACGGAAGGCCGCGUGGAAUCUUAGGUCGUUUCCCUAGAAUAAAAU